Trichonephila inaurata madagascariensis is the source of this 72-nucleotide non-coding RNA. NCBI's taxonomy places the organism in Eukaryota, Metazoa, Arthropoda, Arachnida, Araneae, Nephilidae. The record is from the annotation of a GenBank genome assembly.
GGGGAUAUAGCUCUGUGGUACAGCGUUGGACUGCAAAUCGAGAGGUCCUCGGUUCAAACCCGCGUGUCCUCU